AGCCUGAACGCUGGCGGCGUGGCUAAGACAUGCAAGUCGUACGGUCUUCCGCAAGGGAGACAGUGGCGAACGGGUGAGUAAUGUAUCGCUAACGUACCCCUGUGUCUGGGAUAGCUGAGGGAAACUUCAGGUAAUACCAGGUGAUAUCAUUGUCCUGCAUGGGAUGAUGCUCAAAGGGAAACCGCAAAGGGAGCGGGCGAUAUCGUAUCAGCUAGUUGGUGAGGUAACGGCUCACCAAGGCAAUGACGCGUAGCCGGACUGAGAGGUCGGCCGGCCACAUUGGGACUGAGACACUGCCCAGACUCCUACGGGGGGCUGCAGUAACGAAUCUUCCGCAAUGCACGCAAGUGUGACGGAGCGACGCCGCGUGUGGGACGAAGUCCUUCGGGAUGUAAACCACUGUCAGGGGUAAGAAGUUCUGAUCUACCCAGAGGAAGGCGACGGCUAACUCUGUGCCAGCAGCCGC
RNAcentral lists this ribosomal RNA (466 nucleotides) under uncultured bacterium. Its description in RNAcentral is "SSU rRNA". It matches the Rfam family "Bacterial small subunit ribosomal RNA", at positions 26 to 518 of the family's 1533-position model. The record is from RNAcentral.